GAUGAAGAACGCAGCGAAAUGCGAUACUUGGUGUGAAUUGCAGAAUCACGUGAACCAUCGAGUCUUUGAACGCAAGUUGCGCCUCAAGCCAUUAGGUUGAGGGCACGUCUGCCUGGGCGUCACAUAUCGUUGCCUGAUGCCAGUUUCCUCGUGAUGGGUGACUGUGCAGGGCGAAUGAUGGCUUCCCGUGAGCAUUGUUGCCUCAUGGUUGGUUGAAAAUUGAGUCCUUGGUAGGGAGCGCCGUGAUAGAUGGUGGUUGAGUGACGAACGAGACCCAAUCAUGUGAGACCCCUACCGAAUUUGGCCUUCAUGACCCACAUGCGUCUUUGGAACGCUCAUGACGAGACCUCAGGUCAGGCGGGGCUACCCGCUGAGUUUAAGCAUAUCAAUAAGCGGAGGA
RNAcentral lists this unclassified non-coding RNA (400 nucleotides) under soil metagenome. Its description in RNAcentral is "partial contains 5.8S ribosomal RNA, internal transcribed spacer 2, and large subunit ribosomal RNA". The stretch from base 1 to 122 matches the Rfam family "5.8S ribosomal RNA", at positions 35 to 154 of the family's 154-position model. The record is from RNAcentral.